CAAGAAGUAGUUUAAAUAAAAUAUUAAUUUUGGAGAUUAAUGAUAAAGGUAUUUCUUUUUUCUUGA
RNAcentral lists this transfer RNA (66 nucleotides) under Epistrophe zibaiensis. RNAcentral's name for it is "tRNA-Pro". The record is from RNAcentral. Lineage: Eukaryota; Metazoa; Arthropoda; Insecta; Diptera; Syrphidae.